CUCUUGCUGUACUAGGACGCGACUUUGUUUGGGUAGCUUUGUCUAUGGCUAUAGGUUUGCCCGCAACUGACGCUAUUGGCAACAACGCCUUCAUUGCAAACAGCUCCGUUGGCAAAUUAGGCAGUAAAAUCCAUACCAUUGCUUUCGUCGUUUCCUCAUUUACAUUAAAAUCAAGGGACCAUGGAAAUAUUCGGAUUUGAUG
RNAcentral lists this long non-coding RNA (202 nucleotides) under Nicotiana benthamiana. RNAcentral describes it as "long non-coding RNA (NBEN_LNC000065)". Lineage: Eukaryota; Viridiplantae; Streptophyta; Magnoliopsida; Solanales; Solanaceae. The record is from RNAcentral.